Molecule: long non-coding RNA, 1970 nt
Organism: Centrocercus urophasianus (Greater sage-grouse)
Lineage: Eukaryota; Metazoa; Chordata; Aves; Galliformes; Phasianidae
Exons: 3
Source: RefSeq, a predicted model, not a curated record
AGCUUUUAUCAGUCACUUUUGCCCUCCAUGCUUUUCCAUGGCGUGGAGCCAACUUCUUUCUUACCCUCUUCCAGGUUGUGGGAAGAGUAGAGACAUGAUGAGAAGCAGAGGGAUAGACAUUUCAAAACAGAGCCAUUCUGACACUGAGCAACUUAUUUAGCCAGCAAGGCAUUGCUGAAACAUUGUAGGGACCUCGGGCUGUUGGACCUCGGGCUGUUGCACUCCUUCCAGUGCCUCUGGGCCACGCUCACUGCAGACCAGCUGGCACCUGGCAGCCAGCCCAGCACCUGAAGAUGUGGGGUUUCCAUGCCCCAGGUGAAGAACACUACUGCAGCUAAUAGAGGAUAACAAGGAAAAACUGUGAAAAAUCCUGCCUGUGGGACUGUGAAAAAUCUUGCCUGUGGGACUGUGGAAGACAAAAGUCUUUUGUAAGUGCCCCUGUGCCACUCUCACAAACAAAUGGGGGACUAGGAACAUGGAGCUGAGGUCAGUCUUGCGCUGCAAUUAGGAGAGACUGAGGGAAAAGCACGGACAAGCUGUACCCCCAGGGCAGGAGCUGUGGGCUCACAUUCCCUGCCCUUGGAAUUUGUUGGGCUGGAAGGAGCUGUGCUGGAUGGAGCCGUAUUGAACAUCCUUGUUGUCCUUGAAGGAAGUGAGCUGCAAAGAAAGAAAUGCUCCGAUGGCCUCAAGGAUCAUACAGGAUAGCAGAUGAACUCUCUCCAGCCAUUCUGUGUCUUUCUCAAAUUGGACCCCAGAACUGGAACCCAGUAUUCCAGAUGUGACCUCACUUAGCAGAUCACAAAACACAGACCUACAUGAUAUAUCUCCUUGAAGAGCCAAAUAGCAGCAAGAGAAUGAGUGAAAGCUGCACAUAACAGGUGGAGAAACAGGAGAAUGGAAAGAUGAAGGGAAUCAAGUACAAGGUCUCAUGAUUACUUAAUUGCCAUGCCCACACCUUGUUCCAUAAUGCAUACAAGAUUUCAGCCACCCAAUCUACUAAAAUCUCUCUCAGGACAUGUCAGACUUUAACUAAGCAUCCUCCUCUCAUCCUGCUGGGUUAUCCAUUCCCCUUGGCUUUUUGCCAUCUUCUGUUAUGCAUUAUCCCAUCAGUUUUGGUCCUCACAUUACAUAUGAGACUUAACAUACUACUUACUGCUGCUUAUGUCAGUUACUUAACACAAGGAGAUUCCCAAGCUUCCCAGCUGUUCUCAUCCCCCAUCUUAACUGUGCUACCUAUGGUAUUUGGCAAUGUUCUGUCAGCCAACCCUCCUGGCCAUUCAACUCUGCUAACUCAAUGUAGCGUGCGAGGGACACUGUAGGAGAAAGAAAGGCAGGUUUAGCAUCUAAGAGCACCCAAGUAAAUCUAAAGACUGAAAUGAUCCAUCCCAAAGGGAACCUAAUCAUUAUUACUGGUCGAACACCAUGCUAUCCUGUGAUAGAAGGAAGAUCUUUGAUAAGUUACUCCGUCUCCUCACGCCAAUCUACUGCUAGAGGAGGGUAAAUAUUCAAAGAUUGUAUACCAAAAUAACUCUUAGCAUUUAGAAGAGGCUGUGGUAGCAUCUGCAGUGAGAAAGAGUAAGCUUAUGUGGUAUUCCAUUCCUACCUGCUAGGAUGACAUUAGGACCAAAUAUUUAAAUACACCAUCUCUGUUCCCAGGCUAUGGAGCCAAAAAUGGUGUGAUCAAAGCAGAUUCCUUGCUUCCACAUACUGUUUCAUGUGGGUUUUUUUGUUGCACUGGGACUUCCUGCAGGGCUCGGACACACAGGACUCUUACCCAGGCAGAAGCCCAAUGGCUGAACAGGGAGAUCCUCUGCAUCUCAUGAGCACUCUACCACGGCGAGGGGCCCAUAACAACUUCUGUCUCUGCCCGGGGCCCCAAACGAGUACCCCUCACCUCGCACUGAAAGGCAGCUGCCCGGGGGCAGGGAUGAUUGGCGAGAACUCGGGGCCCCUGCCGCCGGCGGGAGAAC